UCUCUGGGAGGGAGUAAUUGUCAGAUUUUGGACUGCGGAGAAAAAUAAUUCAGAUAUGAAUAAUAUAUAUCGUAAUGCCAUAUUCUACAUUUGCUGCCAGAGUUACAGCUGAGCUCUAAAAGAUUCAAACUCGUUCAGCUAUUCCCUACAGGUUCAGUGAUUACACUGUUGGAUGUAUGUAGCAAUGAACGAAGAUGGGGAUGUUUAUCGAGGCACAUGAAGAAGAUUCUCCCAAAGAUAUGUCAACAUUGACAUACGAUAUAUUAUUUGUACAUGCAAAUUAAGCCAAGGAGUUGUGAUGUAAAUAACACUGAAAACAUGUCUCUGGCAUCUGCAGUGCAAGGCAAAAACCCAUAUCCAGACAGAGGUUUGGGCUUAAACUUGUUGGGAAUUGACUAUGAAAGGAAGAAGCAGAAACUUCAGCAGGAGCUACAGCUCGACUACGAACUUUUUAUUUCUAAGACAAAGGAUCGGAAAACCAGAGAACCCUGUCCGCCAUCCCAGGGUCUCUCCCUACCUAUCGAUGACAGGAUAUCUAUAAAGGCAUGUGUGUGUACCUGAGUAUAGCAAUAUAUCAAUAAGCAGGUGGUCAUCAAAGUGUUACUUGAGUGCUUCAGCUUGAGCGGAUUAUAUUGAAUUGUUGGUUACAGAGUGCUCUGUGUUUCAUGGCAACAGCUUAUGCUUGCAAGUGCAAAGAAUGAUUUCAAGGCUAUCUUACUGAUGCAGCAGCGUAGUCCAAGCAUUUUUGAAACACUGUGGAUAACAGCAAGUCAAGAAAUUGCAAUCUUGCAGAAAUGAGAUGCAUGGGAACUGUGUUGCUCUGUAAUGUUUGUACACAAUCAGCAUUGUAUCCAUGUAAACUAUUAUGGAAAAAUAACAUGCACUGAGGUAAGCCCUGCAUAUGCCUCUUAAAGCCUUAAAGUGAGCUUAAAUUCUACAUAAAUCAUUUCACGUACAUAUAGUAAUAAUACAUAAUACAUAAUAACACACAGUGAGUAGUAUUUUCUCUUUUGGAGAUAAAGAAAGUUAGGGUUUUGGGAUAAACAUCAGUGGGUGGCCUUCGCUCCAGUGAUUGUGCCUGUUGGGCAUUAAUUGUGGGGUUUAUGGUUUGAUGUCUGACUUCUUUAACAAGAAGUGUAUCUCAAAUUCAUGCUGUUGUGUGUAUGCGUCAGAGAGAGCUGCUUUGGAUAAAAUAGUCUGUCUAUUUUCUUUAAUUAUAUCUAGACGUAUAGUUUAUGUGAGUGUUGAAGCUUUUUAAAGACACUUUUUUAUUCAUUCAUUAAUUAGAAGUCAACAGGAAACUAAUUGAACUAUUUCAAGAUUUCUAAACGUUUUGUUUGAAGUCAGCUUUAAAUACAGCAAUGGAUGCAUGUAACUAGUGUUUUGGCUGCUUGCUUUAGAUAGAUGACUGAAUUUGUUUUCUCUCCCAGCAAAAACUAAGGGAAGAGAGAAAUAAAGAAUACAGCCUCUUCCUCCAAGAACAAGCUCAAAUCAGAAAGUUAAAGAGGACAGCAGCUCCUGUCACUGCCAAACUUGGGCAGGUUCAGGCCUCAGAUGCUGUCAGUGUUUCUCCUCAAGUGUCUCCCCUGUCUGUCCUCAAUACCAUCUCAACAAUGCCUCCUCCUCAAAAGGAGCGCCCUGCAUCCCGGAGAGACGCAGCCACUCUGACUGAGGCAGUGGAUAAUGGAAAAAGUACAGGGACUUUGGGUCCAGGUUAUCGGCGGCGAAGGCGCUGGCAACUCUACAGACAAAAAGAGCCCUAUAGCUCUGAGGAGGAGCUUAACACAGAUGAAGAACUCGAGUCUGAUUUUAGAUGCAGGAGGAGGCAAGACAGAUGCACUCGAGAGCCUGAGUACAAAGAAGAGAGAAGAAAACAAGAACGCAGAGUGAACAGCAGAGCUUCUCGGAACAUAAAGGAUGUGGAGGCCCCUAUUGCUUGUGAUCAGAACAACAAUGAUAGGAUUUGGAAGUCAGAGCUGCAAAUGCCAGACAACAUGAGGAUGGCGGCAAAGUCUACACCUGGUAUCAGCAAAGAGAAGCCUGGGUUUGCUACGGGACUCAUGAUUGGGGCAACAGAAGAUCAGACGGCUGCUCAGAUGAAGAAAGAACAGUAUGGGCAGGAGUUGCUGAGGCAGAUUGCUGAAAAGCAGAGAAACAAGAUGAUGGAGAGGACACUUGAGCUAAGAGUUGCCGCCACUGGAGCCACAGAUCCUGAGAAAGAGCCUGACAGAAUAAAGAAGCUGCGGGGUGUAAAUCUGCAGUAUGACAGUUUGAGACGGGAUGUUCCUCACAAGCCUGGAAUAGAGAUGGAGUCUGACGGGAAGAAUCUAAACCCAAGGCCUAAAGAUGAUAAACCCACUAACAACACAGAACAGACGGUUCCCAGAGGAAAGUCUGAGGUGACAGUCCCUCGGUCUGGAAUGGGAGUAAGACAACGUUAUCCCUCCUUGGAAUAUUUUAGUGAGGACUACCACAGAGACUUUUCGAACAUGCUUGGAGAGGUGGCCAUCCAAAGGGUUUUUGAAGCUGCUCCUCCUGUACCUCCCAUUGUACCUAAUACUUACAAGACUCCAUACGAUGCAGCUUAUUACUACUAUGGAACCAGGAAUCCAUUAGAUCCUAAUCUACCUUACAAUCAGAAUGACCUUCCCAGAGAGGUUCAACAGUCUGAGAAUUUCAAGAUUCCUUUUCAAAAUCCACGUCCUCUCGGAUCCAGUGGCACCAUUAAAGCAACUCGCCAGUGUACGGCAUCUCCCUUGGCUUUUGAUGAGCUUCAUGAAGACAAGUCCAGGCAGAGGAGAGAGAGUAUACUGAGCUACCAAGAAGCACUCAAACAGCAGAUCAGAGAAAAUGAGGAGCGUAAAAGAAGAGAGAAAGAAGAGGGGAUGCGAUAUGAUGCAAAGAUAGAGGCUGAGAUGACGGCUUACAAUCCCUGGGGCAGAAGUGGUGGAGGUGCUCCCAUUAAAGACCAAAAAGGCAACCUUGUUAGUGACCUGCAUCAAAUGCACAGGAGCAAUGAGAAGUCAAAUAAGAAUCCCAUUGAUGCCAGAGUUCCCCUUUCCCAUCGACUAUCAGGUUCCAAUGAUCCUCCACAGGAGCUUCACACGCAGGACAAAUACAAAGAAGCCCUGAAACGACAGAUAGAGGAAAGAAAGAGAAACCAGGCAGAGGAGAGAGAACGUAUUAGGAUUGAGGAGGAGAAGGAGGAGAAGAGGUUGGUGAGGCAGAGGGCUCACAUACAGCAGGAAUAUGAGGACGAGCAAAAGAAACAAAAGAAGAUUGAGCACAGGCUGGAAAACCAAAGCUGGAUCUAUCAGCCUAAAUCACAUCACCAAGAGGAGGAAAAGAAGGUGGGGCAGGAAAAAGAGACUGACAAGAUGCCGCAGAGUGCCAAAACAGGAGAAGAGGAAAUUUCCCAAAUGAAUUAUGAGAGGGAGCCAUCUCCUCCCAUCCCAACCUUGCGGAAGAAGCAAACAAGUCCUGUAGCAUCUAGGCCUUCCUCUGUUGGGAGCCAACUCUCAUCCAGGAAUAAGCACCCUAUGUCAGCGCCACACAAAUGUUCAGUCUCUCUGAAAACACCCCAGCUAGACGAUGGUCAACAGGAAGUGAUCAAACAGCUGUCGCUCCUCCGGACGCAUCUGAGGAAUGAGCAGAGACAGCUGGAGGUUCAGAUGGGCCAAACAGCUCCACCGGAGACUCCCUACACUCCCCCCAACAGGCAGAGAAGACGACUCAGAGAGGCGGCUGCUGAACGCGUUAAUAUGCAAAACAUCAGGGAGUUCAACCAGCUUAAACACAGAGGUACAGCAUCUCGUGAAGGGGUCCGAGCCAUGUACCCUGAUGCUCCCACUGAUGCGCAAAGUCUGGACAUCCAACAGCAGGCUCUUCUACGUGAACAAGAGCGCAAAAUCAGGCUUAUGAAUAGACAGAAAGAGCACGACUUUUUGGACCAACAGCAAGACCUUUAUUUUCCUAGGAGGAAACCUGGAUCCUUCGUCCACAGAGACUCCGUAUUGCCGUCUCAGUCUGCUUUUAUGGAUGUUUACAGUGGUGAUGCACGUGACCAUCAGAGAUCCUCUCAGCCCUCAGCAGAGCACCGAGACAGGACAGCCCCACGAGGGAGACAUAACUGUGAUCAGGUAGGGGAUUCUAUUGAUCAGAGGGAGCAUGACAAUCAGUCAGACGACCGGUCUCUGCAGUCCGGCACGAGUCUGAACCUCAGAUCUAAAGUCAGGGACCACAACCACCACCGCAUCAUCAGACGAGACACUUGCACUGGGGAUCACAACAACAGCAGAACAGAGGUGCUGUCUCCAGAUGAAGAGGAUGUCUUGUCCCUGCGCUCUGCCUUGGGGAGGCGUGUCUCCGUGGAGACAGUUGCCACAGAGCCCUGGCUGCGGCCCGGAACAGCAGAUGCUGUUAAACACUCAGGCUGCAGAGAGACGCCGAACAGCAGGAUGGAUGCUCCGCCAUGGCUGACACACUGCAUCACAUAGCUCCCAUUAGCUGCUCUCCAAGGAGAGGAAAUUGCGAAUCUCUCAUUCCCUAAGGUGCAGGUGGUGGGUCCAGUUACUGUGCUGAAAACAUAAUUAAUGAGUAACAACUCUAAUUUCUUUAAACUAAAAUUGAUACCAUAAUCAGACAAUUUUAAUUGUUCUCUUUCCGUAGUCAUCAUUUUUGAAGGAUGUGAUUUUGUUUCACUUGAGAUUUGCAAAAGAUUAGGCUUUUAGUGCAUCCGAUAGCUGUAGCGGUUUCUUGACAAAAAAGAUUCAUCCACAUAUUUAGUUGUAUCUAAAGGGUCCGUGUAUGGAUCUGGUAACUGGAUUUUCCGUUCUGAAACGGGUAUUGAAAAACAAAAAACGAGUGGUUAUUUGAUUUUCGUUUUAAAAUACAAAAAUUAAAAUUGAAAUACAAGGCGUUUUUCCUUUUCAUGAUCAAAAAGGGAUGUACGAUUUUUAAAAAAAAGCUUUGAUUUUUGUUUUAUAUUUAGAAUAACAAGAAAAUAAAAUCAAUAAGAGACAGAAACGAAAAAAGGUCCGUUUUUUCAUUUUCUGAGACCGGAAGUGGUCAUCAGCAAGUGUGGAGCCAAACGGAAUACGGUGCAUACACUGUAUAUAAUUUUUUUCGUUAGUUUUCAUGGUCAAAAUGAGAGAUCAGGUGGCCGAUCUUAAAAUAAAUCAAUAUUGAUUUUUUUUUAUAGAGCGUUAAAGUUUUGCGAAGCCAGGGGGCGGGGCUACUUGAUUGACAGUCCGGUCUGGAAUGAUUGACAGGUCCUAUGGAGGAGGCAGCAGAGACUCUGCUCUCCUGGUUUGGAUUAAUUCUGAUAUAAUAACUGUUGGUUUAUUUAUCGGUGGAGCAGCACAACAUUUUCCACAGACAGUUUUCCUGCCCGUUGGCUUGUUUUAACCAGUUUUCUGCCUUCGGCUGAUUCUACCAGCAGGCACUGAAAGGACUCUAAUAGUUCGGUAAGUAAAUGUUUAUUUUCGUAUCGGUGCCGCUUUUAACGCACUUUAUAUGCAGCUUUAGUGUCAGAUGUAAUGUGUGCCAUGCACUCCAGAUGUUGGUGGAGUUUGUUUCAGUGUGUGUUGACCAGAGAAGAAAGUUAGCAUAGUAAAUAUUAGCUUCAGUGUUAGAUGCUAAACGAGAUAGCUGCUCAGUCGUAGCCUGUUUAAAGCUAACGUAGCAUCAAGCUAAUGUGUUGAGUUUCAUGUGAACAGCUGAAGUGUGUUGUGUUCCUGUAAUGUGGUUCAUUAAGUUCAUAAAACUGUGGCUGGUUGACAUUAAUGUAACGUAAAUGUGAUUAAAACAGUAACGUUAAUGUUCUAGUUGUCAGUAAUCAGCUUUAAUUUGACACUAAAACAGACUGUUUUAAAUGACAUCAGUUUCAUCAAUUUGUUGAAAAUUGUCUCAUUUGUUGUGAUGUUGCUGCUACUCAUACUCAUAGUAUAGCGUAUCAUCCAAAAAACAUCAUAGUUUAGCAUGUCGUCCAAAAAACAUCAUAGUAUAGCAUGUCUCUUUAAAAUUGUCACAGUAUAGCAUGUCGUCCAAAAAACAUCAUAGUAUAGCACGUCGUCCAAAAAACAUCAUAGUAUAGCAUGUCUCUUUAAAAUUGUCACAGUAUAGCACGUUGUCCAAAACACGUUAUAGUAUACCAUGUCGCUCAAAAAAUGUCAUAGUAUAGCCUUUGGUCCAACAAACAUCAUAGUUUAGCAUGUCGCUCUAAAAGCGUCAUAAUAUAGCAUAUCGCCCAAAAAACGUCAUUGUAUAGCAUGUCGUCAGAAAAACGUCAACCUAUAGCAUGUCGCUCUAAAAACGUCGUAUAGCAUGUCGCUCUAAAAACGUCAUCGUAUAGCAUGUCGCUCUUGAAACGUCAUCGUAUAGCAUGUCGCUCUAAAAACGUCAUAGUAUAGCAUGUCGCUCUAAAAACGUCAUAGCAUUUCGCUCUAAAAACAUCAUACUAUAGCAUGUUGCUCUAAAAACGUCAUAGUAUAGCAUGUCGGCCAAAAAACGUCAUCGUAUAGCAUGUCGCUCUUGAAACGUCAUAGUAUAGCAUGUCGCUCUAAAAACGUCAUAGUAAAGCAUGUCGCUCUAAAAACGUUAUAGUAUAGCAUGUCGCUCUAAAAACGUCAUAGUAUAGCAUGUCGUGCAAAAAACGUCAUCGUAUAGCAUGUCGCUCUUCAAACGUCAUAGUAUAGCAUGUCACUCUCAAAAUGUCAUAGUAUAGCAUGUGGCUCAAAAAACGUCAUAGUUUAGCAUGUUAUCCAAAAAACAUCAUAGUAUAGCAUGUCGUCCAAAAAACAUCAUAGUGUAGCAUGUCGUCCAAAAAACAUCAUAGUAUAGCAUGUCUCUUUAAAAUUGUCAUAGUAUAGCAUGUCGUCCAAAAAUGGUCAUAGUAUACCAUGUCGCUCAAAAAACGUCAUAGUAUAGCCUUUGGUCCAACAAACAUCAUAGUUUAGCAUGUUGCUCUAAAAACGUCAUAAUAUAGCAUGUCGCUCAACAAACGUCAUUGUAUAGCAUGUCGUCCAAAAAAACGUCAUAGUAUAGCAUGUCGCUCUAAAAACUUCAUAGUAAAGCAUGUCGCUCUAAAAACGUCAUAAUAUAGCAUGUCGCUCGAAGAACGUCAUCAUAUAGCAUGUCGCUCUAAAAACGUCAUAGUAUAGCACGUCGUCCAAAAAACAUCAUAGUAUAGCAUGUCGCCCUAAAAACGUUAUAGUAUAGCAUGUCGUUCUAAAAAUGUCAUAGUAUAGCAUGUCGCUCUAAAAACGUCAUAGUAUAGCAUGUCGCUCUAAAAACAUCAUAGUAUAGCCUUUGGUCCAAAAAACGUCAUAGUAUAGCAUGUUGUCCAAAGAACAUCAUAGUAUAGCAUGUCGCUCUAAAAACGUCAUUGGAUAGCAUGUCGCCCAAAAAACGUCCUAGUAUAGCAUGUCGUGCAAAAAACGUCAUCGUAUAGCAUGUCGCUCUUCAAACGUCAUAGUAUAGCAUGUCACUCUAAAAAUGUCAUAGUAUAGCAUGUGGCUCAAAAAACGUCAUAGUUUAGCUUGUCGUCCAAAAAACGUCAUAGUAUAGCAUGUCGCUCUAAAAACGUUAUAGUAUAGCCUUUGGUCCAAAGAACGUCAUAGUAUAGCAUGUCACUCUAAAAACAUCAGUGUAGCAUGUCGCUCUAAAAACGUCAUAGUUUACCCUUUGGUCCACAAAACGUUGUUUUGUCCCGGCUGUCUGAAGUAGGUGAGGAGCAACACCAAAAGCAUCCAAACGCUGGUUUCCAGAGGGUUAGACGAGUAUUUAUUUGAAAGAGGACGUUUACAACAACACAUGUGAGGGGGUUAAAUGCAAAUGGGUGGUAGUAAAAUAAAAAUAAAUAAACAGAACUAAAAGUGAACUUCAUGUUGACAUUGAUGGGCAUUCCAACCUGGAACAAAGUAAAAGAUAAUCAAUACGAAAAUAAAACUCUUCCUGUUCACCUCUUCAAACCCAAAAACACACCGCAGUAGCACCCUGAACUAAAACUACCAAUGGGUUCCCUGUUUUCCUUUCUGAACAAUUCAAAGGUCCCUCUCUAUCUCCCCACACAUCCACCAACCACUGGAACACAUCUCCAAAGUUCUGCCGGGCCAGCUCAGCUUCCCUUCAGAAGAAGUUCCACCAGAUGAAGGAGCCUUUUGAGAGGCAGCUGGCAUCGUGAUUGGACUGUACUUUGUUCUGUUCCAAUCCAGCUUCAGCUCCAGAGACGGCAGGCGGGACGAGUCAACGGAGGCCGGGUGGACGAAGGCAUGCAGCUGAGUACAAUACAGAAAACAACAGAGGAGGAGUACAGCGGCCCAGGACCAGAACAGAGUAGCAUGACCAAAGAACUACAGACUCUUCACAACCUGCUCAAACUCUUGGUACAGGACCUCACCACACAGGUCAAGAAGGUUUCUGUCUCAUUUCUACUCUGAAGCUCACCUUCUCCUGCUCAAACUGCUGACAAAUGUUUCUGCUGCUCUAAAGUCUGGUCUCCAGAACUUCCUAAAAACUCUCAAAGUCUCUUCUGCUGCAGGUUGCUUUGUAGAACUGUUCCAGAAAACCUCACUAAACCACAUGGAGGGGCCUCAAGAUAGUCAUCCAAAUGAAACUGUACAAAAACCAAACUAACUAGUACAACCCAAACGCUAAAGUCUCCUGCAGCCUACCAGAGAACCUCUGAGAACAGAGAAUCAGGACAGGAACUCUUACCUUCUGGACAACCAAGAAUACAGAAUGUGUCUGACCAAAAACCUCUAAAGACUCACUACAGCCAAGAUAAAGACACAACUCAGCUGUACCAAAUCCACUAAUCACUGCACACAUUAGCACCAUGUGCUAACUGUGGCUAAAGAACCACAUUUACCAAGACAACUAUCCAGUACAAAGCCCUAAAACACACCAAGAAACACAUUAUAGACGAUUUUACUGCUGGAAGCUGCAAGCCAACGCCUAAAGAACAAACACAACGGAGCCAAACCCGGUUCCGUGGUGAAGAGAAGCAGAGGAAAUGUUUGUCUGUAGCCACAUAAAGCAGGAAGACACUGAGCUGCUCAGGUGUUCCUGAUAACACCAAGCAGCCACCUGGACAGCCAAUAGGAACACAGCUUACUGGAAGUCCAGAGGGCUGGCUUAGUGAAGGAAAUUUAGUUUAAAGUUGAGGCAGAAAGUUAACAAAGAAAGUUGAAAACCACCUUCUGAUACCUGAAAUCUCUGAGUUUUCACACAAAGAACGCCUGAACAUGUCAAACUGGUUCCAUAGUAGAACCAUCAUUGUAAAAACGUCAUAGUAUGGUGUGUUGCUCAAAAAACAUUACGACCCGGCUUCUAGGGUCGCCGAGGAGCAACGCAAAAACAGGACAAACGCUGGUUUCCAGGGGGUUAGGAGGCUAUUUAUUUGAAAGAGUAAGUUUACAACAACACAACAUGUGAGCAGAAAAAUCACAAAGUCUGUCUUUAGUUCAGCUAAAAAUAUUAGUUUUUGUCUUAUUUAUUGACCAGACUUUUCAGGAAGUAGAUGAAGAAUAAUUAAAGCUCUCAUGUAGAAGUCCAACUUAUUUUGGAUCCUUGUGGAGAGUUUAAUCUUAGAGUUUGUAAAGCUGUUGAGUUUUUAGAGUCACAUGGAUUUUGACAUUUAAUAACCGAGUCCUGAAAUAAAAUUACAGUUGUGGAUUUCUGUCAUUUAGUCUGGACUGAACAAAUAACAGCAGCAUAAAUCUCAAACGUCAUUAUGAGGAGUCUGGAUUGAGGUUUCUCACUUGAUAAUGAUCAAAACAUGAAAUUUAGGUUGGUUUAAAGGAAUAUUCCACCUUAAAUCUUUGAAUGUUGACCUAAAAGUUUGGUUUCAGGAAGUAUUCCACCUACAAGUUCCUCAAACAACCACCUCCUCGUAGGACUCCUCCUGUAGCCUUGAGGGAACCACAGGAACAUUCAGUAGCUGUUGGAGUUCUUCCUGUCAGGCUCGUGGUAGAACAGCUCUGAAGAAUCUUGUACUUGUCUUAUCUGGAACAAUCUAACAGCCUAAACUGUUAACAGCAGUGUAAAGAAGCAAACACACAGGCAUAGAUUAGGACUCAAACUAGAUUUAUUUUAGAAAACAAAUCAGCUUCGAGGCAUUUGUUCACACAUGUGGCUGAAUAGGAGGCCGUCCAAUCAGGUUCAAGGUCUUCACUCUGUAGGUUGGUUGUUCGGUGAGACUCUUGUACUUCCAUCAGCUGACGUGGAUGUUUGAUGGUCUUCCUCUCUAGUGCCAGAUGAUUCAUCCAUGAAUUCAGCAGCUACAGACUGAAAUGAAGCUCAUGCUGCCGUUAUUGAAUUCCUGUUCCAGAUCUAAUGUUCAGAGCUCAUCUUGAAUGCAGCCGUCUGCUGUCUGAUAGUUUUUCUCAUUGUAGUCUUCAAUAAAGUCUUUUUCCUCAUGUCA
Molecule: RNA transcript, 10423 nt
Organism: Amphiprion ocellaris (clown anemonefish)
Lineage: Eukaryota; Metazoa; Chordata; Actinopteri; Pomacentridae
Gene name: centrosome and spindle pole-associated protein 1
Exons: 29
Source: RefSeq, a predicted model, not a curated record